Long non-coding RNA from Thalassophryne amazonica, 142 nucleotides. RefSeq lists it as uncharacterized. NCBI's taxonomy places the organism in Eukaryota, Metazoa, Chordata, Actinopteri, Batrachoidiformes, Batrachoididae. The transcript is spliced from 3 exons. The record is from RefSeq and is a predicted model, not a curated record.
GAACAAGGCAACAUCUGUACAUCUGAAGUUGAUCCACGGGUGCCGGACUGUGGCAGCCCACUGCUCCUAGUGGUUGGAUUGUGUCUAACUGUAAUUAAGAUGCUUAAAUGUAGAGGACAGGUUUCAAGUAAGGACGUGCAAA